GAUUUACGCGCACGUUGGAACCGAAGAGAGCUCUGUUGUUGCAAUGUUCAGCCCACAAGAGCUUACUGGUGAAGGAAUGGGACAAGACCCAUCUUUAUGCAAAGCCAGCGUUACAGUAAUGUUCCAGGUAUUCCUGAUGACAGUCUGCCUCUAUCUUACAGAGCAGCUUGUUGCUAUAUACCAUUGAAAAGCCUUCAGAGCUGAGAGGUUAGUUGAUAUUUUUUGUUCCUUACAGCUUAUGCCACCAAGUAGGCAGUUUCUAUGAUGAAUCAAACUAGCUCACUAUGACCGACAGUGAAAAUACAUGAACACCUGAGAAACUGGAGAACGCAGGGAGUGGGGGGUAACCAUGUCUGAGGAAUCUUUCACCCACAGCUUUGUUUUUCUCUAGGUACUACUAACCAAUAACCUGCUUGGCUCAAAGGUGAGUAAUUUCACGGUAUUCAAUGCACUCAGUAUAUAGGGUAGGAAAAAGUGCCUUUUUAGGCCUGUGUUUGUGAUGACUUACAUGGAAUCUCGUUCGGCUGAUGACUUGCUGUUGAGACUCUGAAAUCUGAUUUUCUGAGAAUGAUGGGUGGGAACAACAUAAUGCGGGAUAUGAGAAGCACUACUGACUUGGUCUUCCUCCUUUCAGGGCCAGCACCUUCUCUCUAAAGCCCAAGAGGAGUUUGAGGUAAAUGGCUUUGCAAUAGUUACCAUCAAUGGCUGCUAUAUAAAAUUUUCUGUGAUUUUUGUGUGUGAUAGCACUGUGGUCUGGGUGAAUGUACACAGACAUAACUGGCUUAACCCAAAGUCUUUGAUCUCCUGAACCACCAGUGAUGAAUUGCUGCUCACCAGUGAUGAGUUGAAUACCGCCCCAGUCUGAUCAAUGUGUGACUGAAAGGUAUUUUCUGAGCUGUGAGCCUGCCUUCCAGUGACAUGUUCUAAAAAUUGCAAGUUAUUUGAGGAGGCUUUACAGCCAAUAGGAAGUUCUUGGGCUAAGUAGUGUUUCCUAUAAAAUGUGCCCUGAAACUUCUUUCUGCCAAGCAAUAGAUACAAUUGAGAGAUUGUAAAAUGUGACAUAGAAUGAAAGUCUCUCAAGACUACAUUUUUCUUUCUUGAUUUUGCAGGAAAACUAGGUGUCUGUGUUCACUCCAGGCUGAAGUUACAGGUCUGAGCAAAUAAGGUGUAUAAAAAAUGGUAGGUAUCUGUUUAAAUAUUUAACUGAUUUUAUAAUAGCAACCUUUUGCUCCUAGGUUACAUAGUGUUAAAUAUUGUGUUCAUUUGUAUUUUCCAAUCCAAUAAGAACUUUUUUUUUUACCUCUGCAGGAAUCUGUCUUGGAGGACAUCAGAAGGUGAAUUUUCCAAGUUCUUGGACAACCUAGCUGUUGAAAAGCUUUCUGGGUUUGGGGGGUAUUUCAGAUGUACCUUAAAGUGUUAGCAGACACAGAUUAAGACACUGGGAGCCAAUGAAACAGCAGUUGAGGGUUUGCUGUGUAUCACAUUUCUGUAUUUUAUCACCCCCUUCCUGCAACAUUAUUUAUCUGGAAUCUACCUGCCCUUUUGUUUUUUAGAUACAAGGGCUUGGUUUUGUUACCCAGGCUGGUUUCAAGGCCAUAGCUUUAAGAGAUCCUCUCACCACAGAUUUCCAAAGUGCUGGGAUUGCAGGUGUGAUUCAUGGCACCCAGACUUUGCUGCCUUUCUUACAUGAUCCAGGCCCAGAACCCAAACUCAGGCACUGUAUAGAUGACCACUUUCGUAAACUACUGACCUAGCUUGUUGCCAAUUGUUGAUUGAACUUCCCAUAACUCCACUUCGUGUCUGUUCCUCUGUAUACAGCCACCUUCUGUUCCCGUCAUGAGCCUUUAGGUCUCCAUUUGCAUAUUGCAAAUACUAUGUUCCAUGUAGGUAGCUCAUUCAGGGCCUUGCUCUUCACUUCAAAAAAGGUUCCCUUGAGGACUGGCUGUCAAUUUGUGUUGCUGUGUUGGUUGUUGAUGAAAAUAAUAAAAUGAUUGAUUACAU
Molecule: long non-coding RNA, 2001 nt
Filed under: Homo sapiens (human)
Lineage: Eukaryota; Metazoa; Chordata; Mammalia; Primates; Hominidae
Source: RNAcentral